AAACAAUUAACCCCGAAUGGCGGGAUCGCCCUCCGGAGGCGAAGGUCAUAGGUUCGACUCCUAUAGGGUGCGCCA
Molecule: transfer RNA, 75 nt
Filed under: Idiomarina sp. HD9-110m-PIT-SAG05
Lineage: Bacteria; Pseudomonadati; Pseudomonadota; Gammaproteobacteria; Alteromonadales; Idiomarinaceae
Description: tRNA-Arg
Rfam family: tRNA (bases 12-64)
About the family: Transfer RNA (tRNA) molecules are approximately 80 nucleotides in length. Their secondary structure includes four short double-helical elements and three loops (D, anti-codon, and T loops). Further hydrogen bonds mediate the characteristic L-shaped molecular structure. tRNAs have two regions of fundamental functional importance: the anti-codon, which is responsible for specific mRNA codon recognition, and the 3' end, to which the tRNAs corresponding amino acid is attached (by aminoacyl-tRNA synthetases). tRNAs cope with the degeneracy of the genetic code in two manners: having more than one tRNA (with a specific anti-codon) for a particular amino acid; and 'wobble' base-pairing, i.e. permitting non-standard base-pairing at the 3rd anti-codon position.
Source: RNAcentral